GGCCAUGACAGCUGUUCCUCCAACACUGAUGAACACUGUGAGGGAAAACUCCACGAGUCAGGCUCAGGGCUUCCCCAAGGCCAGCCUGCUGAGACAGGUUUUGGGGCCGGAGUCAGGGGACCAGGAGGUUCCCUUUUCCUGCUGGAGAGAAGAAAAUGGACUCUGGACUUAAAGUUUAUAAGGACAAGAAUCAGCCUAUCUUCUUCCUGGCUGUGAAUCACUGCCUCUUCCCACCCGUUUGCACAGACACCUGAGUUAAUUUAGUCUCAUCUAAUUCCUCCUGCUGUUUUCAGUGGGACUUCCGCCACCUUGGCAGCAUGAGUCAAAAUGGGAUCAUCCUCCUCAUCUGACUACUUAACGAAUUGAGGUAUUUAUUUGGAGCUGAAUGUUUACAACGAAAGUCACCAACCAUCUUGUUUUUUCAUGUUUUGACAG
RNAcentral lists this long non-coding RNA (435 nucleotides) under Equus caballus (horse). Its description in RNAcentral is "lncRNA (ENSECAG00000037419.2)". Lineage: Eukaryota; Metazoa; Chordata; Mammalia; Perissodactyla; Equidae. The record is from RNAcentral.